Molecule: long non-coding RNA, 467 nt
Organism: Armigeres subalbatus
Lineage: Eukaryota; Metazoa; Arthropoda; Insecta; Diptera; Culicidae
Exons: 3
Source: RefSeq, a predicted model, not a curated record
AAAAAAGCCAACCUGUCUGGUGCGUCUGGUGAAAAUACAUAAAUAUAAACAUUGCGCAUGAAAAUUGAUUCUAACUUUCAAAUUGAGGUGGAAUCUAGUCGACCAACAGGUGGAGAAAUUUGCGGCUUCAAGUGGUCCACCGAUGAUAAACCUUUUCAGUGGAGACAUUGGAGAGCUGCAGAAGGCAAUGUUUUUCGGUGAAAGCACGCACAGUGGGCACUAAGUUGCCAGGAAGGAUAUGGAUAAUACGCUACUGUUCCCAUUUCCGAUGGACAGACACUCUGCUGACCGAAACCGAAAAUUAUAUCGAAAGAAGAAAACAGAGCCUUGGAGUAUCUGAUAUCAUCACAAAUAUGGAUAUGAAUAGAGAUGAAGCGACGAGCAUGAAACUUAAAGAGAUGAAACAUUAUGUAUUUACUCGUGCACAUAUUGGUAUGAGAAAUAAAUAUGAAAAACUCAACUGGAAA